RNAcentral lists this ribosomal RNA (497 nucleotides) under uncultured bacterium. RNAcentral's name for it is "partial 16S ribosomal RNA". It matches the Rfam family "Bacterial small subunit ribosomal RNA", at positions 28 to 507 of the family's 1533-position model. The record is from RNAcentral.
GAUGAACGCUGGCGGCGUGCCUAAUACAUGCAAGUCGAGCGAACAGACGAGGAGCUUGCUCCUCUGACGUUAGCGGCGGACGGGUGAGUAACACGUGGAUAACCUGCCUAUAAGACUGGGAUAACUUCGGGAAACCGGAGCUAAUACCGGAUAAUAUAUUGAACCGCAUGGUUCAAUAGUGAAAGACGGUUUUGCUGUCACUUAUAGAUGGAUCCGCGCCGCAUUAGCUAGUUGGUAAGGUAACGGCUUACCAAGGCAACGAUGCGUAGCCGACCUGAGAGGGUGAUCGGCCACACUGGAACUGAGACACGGUCCAGACUCCUACGGGAGGCAGCAGUAGGGAAUCUUCCGCAAUGGGCGAAAGCCUGACGGAGCAACGCCGCGUGAGUGAUGAAGGUCUUCGGAUCGUAAAGCUCUGUUAUUAGGGAAGAACAAAUGUGUAAGUAACUAUGCACGUCUUGACGGUACCUAAUCAGAAAGCCACGGCUAACUACGUG